ACUAUUUGAACGGACAUUUGGUAAAUUCAAUUUGAAGAAUACUAAUUCUUCGUCAAGAUAAUAUCGUUUUAUACUUUUCAUUUCGUGAUUAAAAUCAACAGUGAACAUUCAACAAAGAAGUGAUUAUUCCCGAAUAUUGUUACGAUGAAAAUAUACAGUUCACAGAGAAAGAGAGAGAGAGAGAGAGACAGAAUAUAUCUCGGAAAUCGCAUGCGUAAGAUCUGAUGACGAUAUAUAGAGUACCAGAGGAAGGCAGUUGCGCUUAAACGGCGUCUAGCAUCGGACGUUUUAACGUGAUAUGAAAGAUACUAGUCCCAUUUUUUAUAAAGUAUUAAUUUUUUUAAUGGAUGGAUUUUUAAAAUUUACGAAAUAAAAUCUAGUGUAAAGAUAAAAUUCAUACUUAAUCAAAUUUCAAAACUUGUUUAUUGAAGAUUGAAAUUGGAAAUUGAAAAUUGUUGUUUUCUUUAAGUGGAAACAUCUGCUACUUUUUACGAUUUGUGAUAGACAAAACUAGAAAAUUAAAAGGAAAAUCAAAGUAUUUCUUCAGCGCAUUAUCAAGUGGAGAGAUAUUUUUAAUGACUUUUUACUUUGAACAAAUGCUAUACACUUUUUGAUAACUUCUAUGUAAUAUCCUGCUGAACAACUUCCGGACAAUGAGAAACGAUCAUUAGUGCAGUAAUACAAUUGAAAUAAAUAAAAAAACUGGGACAGUAUAAUGGACGUAUAUGAAGAUAUUGAUUUCAAUAAUCCUAACAGUUUUAAUAUGCAAAAUCGAACUUUGGAAAUAAAAGCAAAUCAGUGUCAUCAAGGAAAUAUUUCAUCAUCCGGAUGGUGUCCGGAAAUUUGGGACAAGAUAUUAUGCUGGCCAUCAACGGCACCUGGAGAGCUGGCCAUUUUAUCUUGUCCUUCUUACAUCGUAGGAUUUGAUAACCACGCAAAUGCCUCCAGACAAUGUAUGAUGAACGGACAAUGGUUAUGGAAUAGCACUAUCAACAAUACUUGGAGUAAUUACAGCCAAUGCUAUAAAAGCAAUCUUGUAACUAUAGUGGUGGAGUUGCCUGAAGAAGAACAAAAAAACAUUGAUAUUGUCAUUAAGAAAUAUGUUCCAAUAGUGAAGAUUAUCUCAAAAAUUGGAUAUACUGUUUCCUUCUUCACUUUAGUGAUAGCUUUCUUUAUUUUAGCUGUGAUUAAUUUAUCCCGAAUUGGACGUAGGAAAUUAAGAUGUCCCCGGAAUAUGCUGCACAUGCAUUUGUUUGCUUCGUUCAUAUUUCGUGCAUUCAUGGCAUUGAUGAAGGACAUAUUAUUCGUCUCUGGCAUUUCCUUAGCCUCAGACGUGAUGAUAAAAAACGGGAAAACAUAUUGGCUGGUUGAUAAAAAAGAGAACAGUUGGCUUUGUAAAAUGUUCACUAGCUUUUGGCAGUAUUUCAUUCUCGCCAACUACUUUUGGAUAUUAAUGGAAGGUCUCUAUUUGCAUAAUCUAGUCUUUUUAGCACUUUUCACCGAUGUAAACUCGAGCAUUGCUGUCUACAUUUGUCUCGGAUGGGGAUUGCCAGCACUAUUCGUAUUAUGUUGGAUUGUAGCGAGAGUGACUCUUGAAAAUAAGUACUGUUGGACCAUUCAUGAAAAUUCCAAUCUUUUUCUUUUGAUUCGAGUUCCAACUAUGCUUUCCAUUUUGAUCAACUUCGUGUUAUUUGUCAAUAUCGUUAGAGUGCUCUUGUUAAAGUUGAAAUCCACAGUAUCAGAGGAAACACAAAGAUACAAGAGAUGGGCAAAAAGUACUUUGGUUCUGGUACCAUUAUUUGGAAUUCAUUAUACUCUUUUUUUGGGCAUGUCUUACAGUAUUGGUAAAAAUAAAACUGUUGAAAUUGUGUGGCUCUUUUGUGAUCAACUUUUUGCAUCUUUCCAAGGUUUCUUUGUGGCUGUUUUAUAUUGUUUUCUCAAUGGCGAAGUACGGACUGAAGUAACUAGAGUAAUUAAAAACCAGAGAUUACUCCAUUUUCAUACUAAAUGGGUCUCCAGACAUUCCACUCACUCAAAUAGUACGUGUAGUUGCAAUCCAUCGAAAGUUGAUAAACAUUCGAAGCGAUCACGCUGGUGGAAAGCACCUUGGCUCUAUUUUCUUAAUGAUAGGACAGCACGACGCUCCACCCACUCGAUGAUAUUGGUACGAGGGGAGGUAGUUUAGCAAGUAGCAGAGGUUACCUGGAAAUUGCAGGAAAUGGACAGAGUGCGUAUCCAGAGAAUCAAAAACAAACAAAUCACACGUCAUUCUCCUAUGGUAAAUACACCGAUCAAUCGUUACUUCCCUUUUGCUCGAAUGAUUCAGAAGUUACACCCUGUACGGGACUGAAUAUUCAUAGAAUUCGAGAACAGCAUCGUUGGAGUGAUUCAGAAUGCUGUCAUCUCGCUUAUGAAUUACACAAUUUACAUAAUGGACCCACA
RNAcentral lists this unclassified non-coding RNA (2442 nucleotides) under Apis dorsata (giant honeybee). RNAcentral describes it as "secretin receptor-like, transcript variant X3". The record is from RNAcentral. Lineage: Eukaryota; Metazoa; Arthropoda; Insecta; Hymenoptera; Apidae.